RNAcentral lists this ribosomal RNA (586 nucleotides) under uncultured bacterium. RNAcentral's name for it is "partial 16S ribosomal RNA". It matches the Rfam family "Bacterial small subunit ribosomal RNA", at positions 355 to 937 of the family's 1533-position model. The record is from RNAcentral.
UGGGGAAUAUUGGACAAUGGGGGAAACCCUGAUCCAGCGACGCCGCGUGUGUGAAGAAGGCCUGCGGGUUGUAAAGCACUUUUAGUGGGGAUGAAAAGUUCAGGGCUAAUACCCCUGGAUCUUGACCUAACCCACAGAAAAAGCACCGGCUAACUCUGUGCCAGCAGCCGCGGUAAUACAGAGGGUGCAAGCGUUAAUCGGAAUUACUGGGCGUAAAGCGUGCGUAGACGGUUACAUAAGUCGGGUGUGAAAGCCCCGGGCUCAACCUGGGAAUUGCAUUCGAGACUGCGUAGCUAGGGUGCGGAAGAGGGAAGCGGAAUUUCCGGUGUAGCGGUGAAAUGCGUAGAUAUCGGAAGGAACACCAGUGGCGAAAGCGGCUUCCUGGUCCAGCACCGACGUUCAGGCACGAAAGCGUGGGGAGCAAACAGGAUUAGAUACCCUGGUAGUCCACGCCUUAAACGAUGGGCACUAGACGUUGAAGGGGUAAGCCCUCCAGUGUCGUAGCUAACGCGCUAAGUGCCCCGCCUGGGGAGUACGGCCCGCAAGGUUGAAACUCAAAUGAAUUGACGGGGUCAUAGCUGUUUCC